AACAAAGCAAUGAUAAGAAGAGUAAGUUUUGACACGCAUUUAAUAAGAGAGCCUCGGUAGCUGAAAAGAGGAAAUGUACGUAGAACUGAAGAUGGUCUUUGAGCAGAGUAGAUGAGCGAAUAAUCGUAAAUCUAUUACGGGUGCACCCGUUACAGUGCCACAGUAUAACGAGUUGCAUGAAAGCUCAAGUACUGAUUGAGGUUGAUUUAGUGAUGAAUCAAUAAACCAAGGUGGUAACACGAAACGUCAAAACUUUCGUCCUUGAA
RNAcentral lists this non-coding RNA (266 nucleotides) under Carnobacterium divergens. Its description in RNAcentral is "T-box sequence". It matches the Rfam family "T-box leader". Rfam says of the family: Uncharged tRNA acts as the effector for transcription antitermination of genes in the T-box leader family. The record is from RNAcentral. Lineage: Bacteria; Bacillati; Bacillota; Bacilli; Lactobacillales; Carnobacteriaceae.